Molecule: ribosomal RNA, 292 nt
Filed under: uncultured bacterium
Lineage: Bacteria
Description: partial 16S ribosomal RNA
Source: RNAcentral
GGACUACCCGGGUAUCUAAUCCCGUUCGCUACCCACGCUUUCGUGUUUGAGUGUCAGGAACGCGCCAGUGCACUGCCUUCGCUUUCGGUAUUCCCCAAGAUAUCAACGGAUUUCACCCCUACACCUUGAGUUCUAUGCACCUCUCACGCCCUCGAGUCAUACCGUUUCGCCCGCAUCUCCCGGGUUAGGCCCGGGGUUUUAACGAACGACUAAUAUGACCACCUACACACGCUUUACGCCCAGUGAUUCCGGGUAACGCUCGGGGCCUCUGUAUUACCGCGGCGGCUGGCAC